UACGUAGGGGGCGAGCGUUGCCCGGAUUCAUUGGGCGUAAAGGGCGCGCAGGCGGCUCGGAAAGUCGGGUGUGAAAACUCGGGGCUCAACCCCGGGCGUGCAUCCGAUACUGCCGGGCUUGAGGCAGGUAGGGGAGAUCGGAAUUCCUGGUGUAGCGGUGAAAUGCGCAGAUAUCAGGAGGAACACCGGUGGCGAAGGCGGAUCUCUGGGCCUGUCCUGACGCUGAGGCGCGAAAGCUAGGGGAGCGAACAGG
RNAcentral lists this ribosomal RNA (253 nucleotides) under uncultured bacterium. RNAcentral describes it as "partial 16S ribosomal RNA". It matches the Rfam family "Bacterial small subunit ribosomal RNA", at positions 524 to 776 of the family's 1533-position model. The record is from RNAcentral.